Xiphophorus couchianus (Monterrey platyfish) is the source of this 809-nucleotide long non-coding RNA. RefSeq lists it as uncharacterized. NCBI's taxonomy places the organism in Eukaryota, Metazoa, Chordata, Actinopteri, Cyprinodontiformes, Poeciliidae. The transcript is spliced from 2 exons. The record is from RefSeq and is a predicted model, not a curated record.
AAUGUGGUGGGAUGGUGUUCCACCCUCCCAACUAUGUGCACCAGGUGUAUCAAGUAGCGUGCAGUUGAUUGGUGGGCGGGGCAAAUAGCUUUAUAGCUGAGCAGGCCGCUGCGAGGUGUGUGUCUUUGUUUCCCAUACUACAUGACGGCUGCCCAAGUGGCUGGUGUGCUUGAUCCGCUCAUCUGAAUUGUAAGUGCCAUUUUGUACCAUCUGGCUGGGAUUGUGGUUAGGUUUUGGUGCUAUACCUGCCGUGCGUUUCUGGAGCGUUGCUCGGCUGGCGUUAGCGGCUGCAGCUGGAGGUUGUUACGGCGUGUGGCUUCCAUCUAGCCCUUGCCUGCUGAUCCGCUCUCUCCCUGGGUCGGCUGUGCUACUACUGCUGGGAUUGUUUGGAGUUGCAGCGCUUGGACGCUCUGCUGUCUUAUUGUUUGUUUGGGCCGCUCUGAAGGCAACCUGUUGCUGAUUGGACAGGCUGAGCGAGCGGGACCGACUCCUCUGGCCCAUUUGAAGGGCACUGAAAUUGGACGACGAUUUGUUCCACCGUUUAAAGUGUUUGUGUUUUUUCCUUUUACAGUUUGUUUGCUUAUUAUUGAAUUUACUAAUGAGUUUGCUUUUUUGUUUUGAUUUACUAAUUUGUUUUCUUUGGCAUUACAUGUUUUGUUUGUUCAUUUAUUUUUUUGGAAUAAUUCAAGUUGUCACUUUUAUUUCACAUGAUCCCUUUUCAUUUCUAGGGACAGAGUAGUGGGCCCGAAGCCUUGCUUUUAAAAAGAAAUGUUUUAAAUGAAAUUGUUUAAAUAAAAUAUUGUGAACUA